UUCCAUGCAGAUGUAGACAUCUCGUUGGAAAUGGCACCUCCAGAGCUACACUAUGAACUUCUUAAUGGCAAUGAGAUUUUAAUAUGAUGGUUUCCAGAAGCAAAAUUUAAUUUAACUCCUUUCUCUUCAAGAGGGACAUCAUUAUCAUCAAGUGCUGCAACUCACUAUCCUGCAAAGCAGAAAUGCACCUCGGAGAGAGGAGGCCAGAGGCUUGCAAGAAUCCCACAGAAAAUGGGUCCAUGGAGACAGCACAAGAAAAGUACCCUGCCCAGUGGAGAGGAGGCCAUCUUUAACCGAGGCUCAAAGGAAAAAUGAGGAAGAGUACGUUUCCCAGGUAGAGAAUGGAUGGGGAACAGGAAGACCAAUCCAGGCUGAACUAGAGCUUCUGGUACAUGUAGAGAGGGGCUGGAAUGAGACCAGGCCUAAGCACAAAACUAAGGGCACAAAUCUUGCCUCUGAGGCAGUGGGAUUCCACUGGAGAAUUGAAAUUAGCCAAUGGAAUGAUUAGUUCCCUUGUCCCAAAGGUCACCUGGCUGCAGUGGGGUGGGAAUAGAGGAGGAUUGGAACCUUGAUGGGAGGCCUUUCAGGAGGGCCGAAUUGCUGAUGCCUGAGCAAGGAAAGCGGGUAGGAGUGGAGGGAACCCCUGGAAGAUCUGCUGGGAAGGAGAAUCCAGAGAACUUACUGAUUUAAAGGUCACGAGGGCAAGUGAAAAAUCAGUAUCCCACUGUGAGGGGAGGUUUGUCACUAUCUAUUCAAACAAACCAACAAAAACAGAACAGUUUAUGCUGCAGUUUGGAUC
This 799-nucleotide long non-coding RNA is filed under the name Ictidomys tridecemlineatus (thirteen-lined ground squirrel). Its description in RNAcentral is "lncRNA (ENSSTOG00000034255.1)". The record is from RNAcentral. Lineage: Eukaryota; Metazoa; Chordata; Mammalia; Rodentia; Sciuridae.